Octopus bimaculoides (California two-spot octopus) is the source of this 3758-nucleotide long non-coding RNA. Lineage: Eukaryota; Metazoa; Mollusca; Cephalopoda; Octopoda; Octopodidae. The record is from RefSeq and is a predicted model, not a curated record.
GUGAGAGAGAUAAAAGCAGAGAGGGAGACAAAGAGAGAAGCAGAGUGAGAGAGAGAGAGAGUGAGACAGGAAGAUAGGAAGCUUUAAGUAAACAUAAACGCACGCAUGCAUAAAGACACAACACAUACAUACAUACAUACAUGUGUGCGUGUAUACAUACAUACGUACAUACAUGCAUAUAUGUGUGUGUGUGUGUGUAUGUAUAUAUGCAUAUACAUAUUUCAUAAAUUUAUUUAUAUAAACACACACACACACACACACACACACCAGGAAUGAAGAGAGUUAAUUCAAAGACAGACAUAUAUACACAUACAGCGAAUGAAGAUCACACAGAUAAAAGCACACAUAUACACACACACACAAUAUAUACAUAUACAUAUAAAAGUGUGUGGGGAGAGGUGUUAUUGAAUAUGUGUGCGUAAGGGAUGAGAAAGAAAGAGAGAGGGUUGGAAAAAGAAAAGCAGAACAUGGACAGUAAGUGAGAGAGAGAGAGAAAGAGAGAGAGAAAACGUGUGCAUGUGGUAUGUGUGAGUGAGCGUGUGUAUGUGUGUGUGUGUGAGUUGUAUGAGGAGUAGUUGGGGGAGAAGGAAGAGGAGAUGGAAGGGGAGAGAGAGGGGUAGUCAGUUAAGCGAGGAGAAAUUACAAGACUGCGGACAGCUUGUUUCGCAAGCUUUCGGAAGGAGAACCCAUAAUAAUAAUAAUAAUAAUAAUAAAGAAAAAGAGAGUGAACAAGCACUCCAACAACAAUAAAAACAACACUAAAAACAAAAGGAAGAACAGAAAUACAAACAUCCAUACUAAUCCGGAAAAAUGUAUCUGUAGUACGGGCCUGUAUACACAUAUAUAUACAUACAUUAUAUAUAUAUAUAGUACAUAUAUGAUAUAGACAUAUAUAUACAUAUAUAUAUACACAUAUGUAUGUAUAUAUAGGCGCACCGACGUUUUUCUUAAAUUCUUAACUCUACUUUCUUUCAAUUUUACCACCUCUCCCUCUCCCUCACUUUCUCCCUUUCCCUCUCUCUCUCUCUCUCACUGUUUCCAGUCUCACUCUCUACUUCUCUUUCACUUCACUACCUCCGCCUUCGUUUCGUUCUCUAUCCAUGCUUUCUUGUUGUUCUUCUCCUUCUCCUUCUAAUCGUUCUCUCUCUCUCUCUCUCUGACUUUCUCGAUCUCUGUAUCUCUCUCUCUCUCUCUCUUUCGUUCGCUCUCUCACUCACUCACUCUCUCUCUCUCUCUCGCUAUCCAUUCUUUCCUUUCUUCCUUUCUUCCUUCCUUCCUUCCACAACUACUUCUUGUGUUCUUCAAAUCACACAUGGACUUAAACGGGGAUGUACACGAUCACAGUUUCUAGGUACAACUGGCCACAACAAAUAUUUUGGAAUGAUGUAAUCGUAGGAAAACGUGCAAAGAGCAAUGCAGAGAAAUGACAAGCUUUUACAUGCGACCGUCCUGGCCAUUCUUAACCUUCUGCUUAUAUCUGCGCGAAUGGGCUUGUCCCUUUCGCCCUCUUUGUGUUAAUGGAUUUACCACGCCACGUUUAUAACUCAACGGAAAAUCUUUGGAUUAAUUUCCCGACGUUGGAACAUUUUAGUCUCCACCCUGCUUACCUUGGGGUGAAAAGGACACGGUUUGUUUUUAAACCUUUUUGUAUUUCCUAUUCUAUAAACUUUAUUUACUACAAACACGAAUUGACUUCGUUUCAUGGAUGAAUUCGCUACAGCAGUGGCGACAUUGAUGCAAACUGGCACAUCCCGCCACAAGAUGCAAAUAAAUAAAUAUAAGCAAUAAAUUUUUUAAAAAAACAUAUUUAUAAAAGAUAACCAACAAAACAAGAAAAUAAAACAACCACUAAACAAACAGAUACAACAAACAUUACAAACAAAUAAAUAACGAAUUUGUGAAAAAAAAAUAAUAAUAACAUGAGUUUUGUUAUGGAGUAACCCACAAACAAUAUUUGGACAUUCGUCUAGUCGAAGAAAAUAAGUGAUAUGGGAGAUGUGUGUUAUUGAGGAUAGUGUUGCUUGAAGAACACAUACAGAAACAGGCAAGAAGGAAACUAAUUAAAAAAAUGCAUCAAUAAAAUAAAAGAUGCCCUGAAGAGAGCUCUAGGACAAGAAGCCCGAGUGGAUACGAAGAAGGAUGUGAUUUUCAUGAAAUGCUGCAAAGUAAAGGACAGUGUCCGCCUGAUUUUCACACCGAUGAAAAGUUGAGGUGAUUCGUCAGUUUGGUGUACCAUAGCUAUGAUCAUUGGCUCAUAAUACAAUACUUAGGCCCAUUCAAUAUAGGAGAGAUAGCCAGGGAUAGGGAGUAGCAAUUGGAACCCUUGACUGUGAGGGAAACUAUCAAAAGAAAUGACGUGGUCGGAGGUUGUUAGUUGAGUAGAGAGUAGCAAGUUCUAAUCUUAGUUUCUCUGAACAAAGCAUACAACUAUUCCAAACCUGUCGCAGGUGUAGAAACAAAAGAAUUGUGACUAGCUGUGCAACGCAAGAAGCCAAGCUAUUGUAGUUGUACUAAAAGGUAUUUUAGAAGAAUCUGUAUCGAAGAAUGAGAAAGACAGAGAAAGAAAGUGAUUGAGGUGGGGAGAGCAACGGAAAAGGCAAAAAUCACAACAGCUCUAGAGUGUGUUGUUUUAAAAAUACUUUCAGUUUUAUCGCCUCUGGCAGGUCCGAGGAUGGUCAAAGAACACGAUUCACUUCCUUGGACAUAAGUCAAUAUCCACAGCUACUAUUAAGCCCCAUCCCCACGAUAUCCGUGUGGGGGUGGGGGUGGACAUGGAGUAGUGAAAAGGGUUGAUGAUGUGGGCGUCAAUACAAAAGGCAAAAAAGAUUUUAAAAGAGGUGACCACAAAUGAAAGUCGAUCCCCAAAUAAACGCAUUGAAAAUAAAAUAUACUCGAAACGAAACGGAAGAAAACAGAAAGAGAAAGAAUGUGUCGUUUGUAGAGCAGACGAAAAAUAAUGAACUGCUAAUAAAAUACAAUUUGUCUACGAUCCGUGAAGGUGCGUGGCUUAGUGGUUGGGGCAUUCGGCUCACGAUCGUGAGUUCAAUUCCCGGCGACGCGUUGUGUCCUUGAGCAAGACAUUUUAUUUCACGUUGCUCCAGUCCACUCACCUGGCAAAAAUGAGUAGUACCUGUAAUUCAAAAGGGCCAGCCUUGUCUGUCACACUCUGUGUCAAACUGAAUUGCCCUGAGAACUACGUUAAGGGUACACGUGUCUGUAGAGUACUCAGCCACUUGCACGUUAAUUUCACGAGCAAGUGGUUCCGUUGAUCGUAUCAUCUGGGACCCUCGUCGUCGUAACCGACGGAAUGCUCCUAAAGUCUACGAUCCACUACUGUGCAACCACAAAGGGACUGUGAAUGAUUUCUCGCCUGAUCUAAUACCAAAAGAUGCUCGCUGGCGCCUUCGGGUGUUGUUUCAUGUAGGAGACCACAGUGUGUGGUGCACGGCCCGACUGAAUUGUUAUGUUUUGUACGCGGUUUGGUAACUCUAACUGGCCUUCGUUUCUUUAUUGAUUUGCACUGUUUUCAAUCAUAAUACGCGCGCGCGUGUGUGUGUGUGAGUGAGAUAGGGGGGGAGUAUGUAUAAUUAGGUUUUUCAUCAAUGGUAGAUCUAUAACAAAUGUUUUAUUUAUUCUUUAAUAUCUCUCCCGUUUCCUUUGUUUUAUUUCAACAUUGUUCGACCAUCCCUCACGUUUGUAUCCCUUAGGUCUAGCGUUUUCACUGUAUGGGAAAACAAUAAAAGUAAAUAUCAUUAUUA